RNAcentral lists this ribosomal RNA (340 nucleotides) under uncultured Pseudomonadota bacterium. Its description in RNAcentral is "bacterial SSU rRNA". It matches the Rfam family "Bacterial small subunit ribosomal RNA", at positions 29 to 351 of the family's 1533-position model. The record is from RNAcentral. Lineage: Bacteria; Pseudomonadati; Pseudomonadota.
AAUGAACGCUGGCGGCGUGCUUAACACAUGCAAGUCGAACGAGAAAGGCUGAUUUCGGUUGGCCGAGUAAAGUGGCGCACGGGUGAGUAACGCGUAGGUAACCUACCCUUGUAUCUGGAAUAACCCCGCGAAAGCGGUGCUAAUACCGGAUACGAUCCCGGGGCGGGAGUUUCGGGAUGAAAGUCGGCCUCUCGCAGAAGCUGACGUACGAGGAUGGGCCUGCGUCCUAUCAGCUGGUUGGUGGGGUAGCGGCCCACCAAGGCGACGACGGGUAGCUGGUCUGAGAGGAUGAUCAGCCACACUGGCACUGGAACACGGGCCAGACUCCUACGGGAGGCUG